GUGGGGAAUCUUGCGCAAUGGGCGAAAGCCUGACGCAGCCAUGCCGCGUGGAUGAUGAAGGUCUUAGGAUUGUAAAAUCCUUUCACCGGUGAAGAUAAUGACUGUAGCCGGAGAAGAAGCCCCGGCUAACUUCGUGCCAGCAGCCGCGGUAAUACGAAGGGGGCUAGCGUUGCUCGGAAUUACUGGGCGUAAAGGGAGCGUAGGCGGACAUUUAAGUCAGGGGUGAAAUCCCGAGGCUCAACCUCGGAACUGCCUUUGAUACUGGGUGUCUUGAGUGUGAGAGAGGUGAGUGGAACUCCGAGUGUAGAGGUGAAAUUCGUAGAUAUUCGGAAGAACACCAGUGGCGAAGGCGACUCACUGGCUCAUUACUGACGCUGAGGCACGAAAGCGUGGGGAGCGAACCGGAUUAGAAACCCGGGUAGUCC
Molecule: ribosomal RNA, 425 nt
Filed under: uncultured bacterium
Lineage: Bacteria
Description: partial 16S ribosomal RNA
Rfam family: Bacterial small subunit ribosomal RNA
Source: RNAcentral